Molecule: long non-coding RNA, 835 nt
Organism: Zea mays
Lineage: Eukaryota; Viridiplantae; Streptophyta; Magnoliopsida; Poales; Poaceae
Exons: 2
Source: RefSeq, a predicted model, not a curated record
UGUUUGAUAUAUGAACUAACUGGCAUUGGAAGGUUGGAACUUGGAAGGCUAUGAACUAACUGGCAUUGGAAGGUUGGAACUUGGAAGGCACUCAAGUAUCAGGAACAGUCACUGCGACUGUAGACAAAAAACGUCGUUGCUUCAACGACCUAUACUGGGAAAUUUCAGUUCCAGCUAAGGGCGCGUUCGUUUUCAGCGGAUCAGCUCAUUCCGGACCUUAUUCCGGGUGAAACCAAUGCACCUGGUUUAGAAUUUGGUACAGCCCAUUAAAAGUGUUCGUUUUGGCCCGAACUGGAAUUGAAACUGGCCCGGAUUAAAAUUUCCCUUCACGCCACGGCCUGGAACCAACCCUUGUGUCGUACCCUCCGGAUCGAAGCCUGGACGACGCGACUGGCACGGCGGCGGCGCACAGCCCCGACGACGACCCUCCCCGCUGCCUUCUCCCCGAUCUCUACGACACCAAUUAUAGAUGGGGAAGGUGAACCUCCUCCCUCUUGAGAUCCUGUACCAACUCCAAAAAGUAUUAAAUUCUUUGUACGUGUAUAUGGUUUACUUUAGUCCUUAUUACUUGUACUUUUGAAAUAAUACAUGAUUUGCUUUAAGUCUAUUUUAUUAUUUAGCUUCUAUCUGACAAAAAAUAUAUAUUCUUUAGUUCUACACUCAGAUGAGACAGGCGAGGUUAAGGUUCGACGACUCCUCGAGGGACAUGCCAAGAACUAUCAAGUUACAUUGUUGUUUAUUUUCCCUGUCUUAUUGGGAAGCAAAGUAUUGGAAAAAACUGCAUUUAUUUGAUGAUCCACUAGAAGUUUAGGCUAUGUCCCACUCGAGUCUUUAU